GAUGAACGCUGGCGGCAUGCCUAAUACAUGCAAGUCGAACGGACCUUUAUUUUUGAGAGUUCCUUCAUAGAAGUUCUCAUAAAUACUGGUUAGUGGCGGACGGGUGAGUAACACGUUGGUACCUGCCCUCUAGUGGGGAAUAACUGGCCGAAAGGUUGGCUAAUACCGCAUGUGGUCUACGGAUCAAAAGCAGUAAUGCGCUAGAGGAGGGGCCUGCGUCUGAUUAGCUAGUUGGUAGUGUAAUGGACUACCAAGGCGACGAUCAGUAGCUGGUUCGAGAGGAUGACCAGCCACACUGGGACUGAGAUACGGCCCAGCUCCUACGGGAGGCAGCAGUAAGGAAUCUUCCACAAUGGACGAAAGUCUGAUGGAGCAAUGCCGCGUGCAGGAUGAC
RNAcentral lists this ribosomal RNA (394 nucleotides) under uncultured bacterium. RNAcentral describes it as "bacterial SSU rRNA". It matches the Rfam family "Bacterial small subunit ribosomal RNA", at positions 28 to 412 of the family's 1533-position model. The record is from RNAcentral.